CUGGGGUUCUCCCCAACGAAGAAUUGCUCUGUCUCUGGGUGUUGCAGAUUUAGGACUACAGCAAACACCAAGGCAAGGAUGAAUCUUAUUGCCCAUCUUCAAGGUUUGCAACCUGAUAUCAUAGGGUAAAUAUAGGGAAGAACUGAAGCCUGUGCAUGAAGACCCUCCCACCAGAGAUGCCACCCAGGUGAGCCUGAGGACCCAGCAGACACUGCAGGAGAGGACUGAAGAGAAUGAAGGCAGGAGCUUCCACCUGAGGUUCCCUGAGAGCCCAACUAGCCUGGCCUGCAGCCCAGAGAUGGUGGUGUCUGUUGCUAGCUUAAUUAAUUUAUUAAUGGAUUUAUAAGGUACUAAAAAGGAGAAGUGACCAAGAAAUCA
Non-coding RNA from Ictidomys tridecemlineatus (thirteen-lined ground squirrel), 378 nucleotides. The record is from RefSeq and is a predicted model, not a curated record. Lineage: Eukaryota; Metazoa; Chordata; Mammalia; Rodentia; Sciuridae.